Molecule: ribosomal RNA, 447 nt
Filed under: Chryseobacterium joostei
Lineage: Bacteria; Pseudomonadati; Bacteroidota; Flavobacteriia; Flavobacteriales; Weeksellaceae
Description: bacterial SSU rRNA
Rfam family: Bacterial small subunit ribosomal RNA
Source: RNAcentral
UCUUUCGGAWYYUUUGAGAGCGGCGUACGGGUGCGGAACACGUGUGCAACCUGCCUUUAUCAGGGGGAUAGCCUUUCGAAAGGAAGAUUAAUACCCCAUAAUAUAAGAAACGGCAUCGUUUUUUAUUGAAAACUACGGUGGAUAGAGAUGGGCACGCGCAAGAUUAGAUAGUUGGUGAGGUAACGGCUCACCAAGUCUGCGAUCUUUAGGGGGCCUGAKAGGGUGAUCCCCCACACUGGUACUGAKACACGGACCAGACUCCUACGGGAGGCAGCAGUGAGGAAUAUUGGACAAUGGGUGGAAGCCUGAUCCAGCCAUCCCGCGUGAAGGACGACGGCCCUAUGGGUUGUAAACUUCUUUUGUAUAGGGAUAAACCUUUCCACGAGUGKAAAGCUGAAGGUACUAUACGAAUAAGCACCGGCUAACUCCGUGCCAGCAGCCGCGGUG